AUCCAACUGAAAAGUUUCAAAUAGGGCAAAAUGCGCGUCCUGGAU
Molecule: non-coding RNA, 45 nt
Filed under: Schistosoma margrebowiei
Lineage: Eukaryota; Metazoa; Platyhelminthes; Trematoda; Strigeidida; Schistosomatidae
Source: RNAcentral